AACGAACGCUGGCGGCAGGCUUAACACAUGCAAGUCGAACGCAUCCUUCGGGGUGAGUGGCAGACGGGUGAGUAACGCGUGGGAACGUGCCCUUCAGUUCGGGAUAACCCAGGGAAACUUGGGCUAAUACCGGAUACGUGCGAGAGCAGAAAGAUUUAUCGCUGAAGGAUCGGCCAGCGUCUGAUUAGCUAGUUGGUGGGGUAAUGGCCCACCAAGGAGGCGAUCAGUAGCUGGUCUGUGAGGAGGUCCGGCCACAUUGGGACUGAGACAAGGCCCAAACUCCUACGCGAGGCGGCAGUGGGGAAUAUUGGACAAUGGGAGCAAGCCUGAUCCAGCCAUGCCGCGUGAGUGAUGAAGGCCUUAGGGUUGUAAAGCUCUUUCGUCCGGGACGAUAAUGAAGGUACCGGAAGAAGAAGCCCCGGCUAACUUCGUGCCAGCCGCCGCAGUAA
RNAcentral lists this ribosomal RNA (449 nucleotides) under uncultured bacterium. RNAcentral's name for it is "partial 16S ribosomal RNA". It matches the Rfam family "Bacterial small subunit ribosomal RNA", at positions 29 to 523 of the family's 1533-position model. The record is from RNAcentral.